GUCCUUGCUACUCUCGCGAGAUUUUGUGAGAAUAGCAAGGACUUCCUUGUUCCGUGGCAAGCGACCCAAUGGUUGCCGUGGCGAGAGCACCCAGCAAAGGCUGCGCCCCAAGCGGUGGCUCCAACGGCUUCAAUUACAAACCGGCCCUGACUUCGAUCCUUAAAAAUGGAACACAAAUUAUGGCUCUAUACCUAAUUUCAGGGCCCAAACUAUUUUUAAAGUCUUGCUGUCUCUUUCAGGCAUGAUAUAGGCUUCCCAAAAUACCAGCAUCCCAUUCCAUAAAAUGUCAGGGCAAAAGCACUGUUGUAAUGGAAGAAAGAGAGAAAUACUAGGCUAUUUUAAAUGGGAUUUCAGAGAAUUGAGUUAGAAAAUCAUCAUCAAAUCUGGACAGUAGGAGCAUAUUUUGGUUUGUAAAAUAUGUUUGAGGUGAUUAUCCACCUGGAUGUACAUAUCUCUCCCUGCAUUCUCUCUGGACCAAAACUGUUUGUCCUAGGACGCUUGGACUUCAGUGGUGGCAUGGAACCCGCUGGCUCCCAUCACACAACACAGAUCAACUUCUAGUGGGGCUCCAUACCUCAACUGAAGUCCAGAUGUCACAGAAGGAGGUGGUGGCAACACGGGAGGCUUCCUGUGUUGCAUAAGAAACAACAAGGGGAAGCCAGGCGGCAACGCUUCCACCCGUGGAAUUAGGUGCGGGGCAAGGCGGGCAAUGUGGGGCACAAGGCAACAGGUUCCCCACUCCCCAUGCUUGGCCCACCCAGUUCACCACGGUCCGUAUUGAAUUGGGGGGUGAAUGUGAUGUGGUUAUCUCUCUCAGUCUCAAUCUCUCUCUCUCUCUCUCUAACUACAGCUCUCAGGACCCAGCAGCCAGCAUGGCCAGGAAGAAAGUGAGAAGCCGCUUCUCGGCUCUCACGGCUGGCGGGCUGUUUUCUGGGAACCUGGGCUUCUCUCCAAGGCUGCUGCUGGUGGACGGCCACCCUCCCAGAGAGAGAGAGAAAUACAGUUUCUUCAAGGACCAGCUGCGAUCCUUGCAAUGACAAGAACUCCCGGACGGACUUCUUUCAUUCACUCCUUCAUCUACAUUAUUAUGAAUGACCGGACAUCUCAUUCACAUACUUGUCUUCAGUUCUGUGGAUCGCCGGGCUACCAAGAAAAGAAAUCAACCAGAAUCCCUUCACUUUGUUAUUUCCAUGAACCUCCUAUUGCCUGAACUGCUUAUGAACUUUCCAUGAAUUGCAUGCUUAUAUGUUUAUGAAAUAUUGGGAUCAAUUCUUUAUUAGCUGAUUAACCGAAGCUAAUUUGGUCUAUGGGUUCCCUGGAAAACCCCCAAACCCACAUAUUUCCCUCUUAUAUAUAAGAUAUUACAGAAAAACCUGGGUUCCUUCCUUCGCUUUAAAACCGGAGGGAAUCUGAAUCUCCCCCGGUUCUCAGGAAACUCGCGAUAUCCCACACCCCCCCCCCAGCCUAUACUUUCACUCAGAACUCACUCAACUUCGCACCAAAAAACACCCUAAUUCAUAUUUAUGUCUAAAAUUGCCUAACCUUUAAAAGACAACCAACAGAGAUCAUUUUUUUCCAUUUCUUCUUCAAUCAUCAGCUGAUUGUCAAACCUGCGUUACUUGCCUAAGCGCCUCCCGCCGUACGCUAUUAGCGCAGGAAAGGAAAAAUAAGCUAUAAACGCUAAUAUUUAGUAUAUUUUUCGGCAAUUUUGGGUGGAAAUUGAUAAGAUAUGAUUUUCUAUAUUCCCUAGUAUAUUUCAAUCAAAGAAGGCACAGUCUGAACUCUAGCUGACCCGGAAAUCCCUGCCUUUCCUCACCCUAGAUUCUGGGCUUCGCACAAAAGAGGAUAAACUGUCACCAUGAAAUCUUAUCUAUUUGCAUCUGCAUGACCCAUAGCUAGAGAUUGUCACCUUAGAUUGGAGCAGCCCCACGGGUCAUUGUAUCUCAUAUGGUAAUGUUGACCACAAUCCCAUCCUGGACCCCUGGGGAGCCAAAGGAAGACUCCCCACUGGUCCUGUUUCUGUAAUCCCAUAGUGUCAAUAUAAACUGACAUCUCCGCCAUACCUCAAGGUAUUCAUGAACUGUGUACGUGCGUAAAGGACCCCGGACAUCCCAAAUGACCCUAUUCAAAAACAGCAAUAAUCUUAAGAUUAUUUUGGAAGGCGCUAGCCUCAGGUGGUCGCUUUUGCAUAAGAUAACCCCAAUGAUUCAUUCACCAGAACCCAUUGUCUAGUUGACUCCCGCCUUCCCCAACCUGAUUGGCCCUGGCAGAGGCGAAGGUUGUCCCUCAUUGGCUGAGACGCAGAGCAGGAAUCCUAGCUCCCGCCUAGUGUGACACUCUCGACCUAUCAGCAGCAGAUGAGCAAAGGGACGGGGCGGGAAGUUCAAAUAGGCUUCAAACUUGAAAAAUGUAUAAAAUGGCUUUAUUUUCCAAUGUAUCGUUACAUCUUACAUGUCGAUCUAUCGCUGCUGGAUGUCCGUUCAGCUGAAUCGCUAAAUAAACACUUUGGCAGUUUUUUUUCCUUCAA
Anolis carolinensis (green anole) is the source of this 2527-nucleotide long non-coding RNA. RefSeq lists it as uncharacterized. NCBI's taxonomy places the organism in Eukaryota, Metazoa, Chordata, Lepidosauria, Squamata, Anolidae. The transcript has 2 exons. The record is from RefSeq and is a predicted model, not a curated record.